AUUCUCCUUACGGUUCCAGCUUUUUAACGAUGGAUCUCAACCAAACCGAGGACGUGAUAUCAGAACUGGAAAUCCUCCACCAACAGCCGCACCUCUGGGACUUCCUGUUUUCACUGCCAAGGCUACAAACAAAGACAGUUCAUGUGGGAGAUGCCACACAAACCGUGGUGCACUUUCUCCAGGCUGUUAGAAAUGCUGUAGUGUUGCUGGACGAUUUGGAUUGGCUGCCACUCAACCGGACGCUCUCCCAGGUCUCCACAGUCCUGCUGAACAUGACCAUCUCAGCGCUGGCUUUCCUGCAGCGGUCUGGAGGAGUGGCCACUGAGUCUGUUUACCACCUUUCUCUGAAGAACAUGGUCUGGGACCUGCAGAAAGUACGGAGCGACCUCCGAUCCCAGUUUGGUUUUGAUGACCUUAAAACAGAACAAAUCCUGAAUUAUUCAGUGGAGCUGCAGGAGUGUCCCUCAGAGAGCGACUUGGAGAGGAUGGUGUGCUCUGUCCUGUCCCACACGUCCAAGGACGCCACUGAGCAAGAGGGCCACCGUGGAACCUGCCCACCCGAGCGAGCAGACGCCAAACACUACCUGAUGCGCGCCAUCAGCCGGCUGCGGCUCUGCGGACAGGUGUUUGGGCAGUGGCAGCAGGACGGCCUGCUUCAGAAGGUGCUCGCGGGUACUGCCCACAGCAUCCAGGCCCUCAGGGACAGGUUUGAAGAGGGGGGCGUGCCGUGGAAGGUGGCAGAAGCCUUGCUUGCUGGACUGGUGCUCCUGAGUGACGCUUUGGCAGCAGGUGGCCCCAAAGACAGCCACACCUCUCCGCAGAUGUAAGGCCCUUUUCCCUCCUCUGUUCACCAGCCUAGACAGCGCUGCAUCUCCAGGAAUGCACAGCAGCACUGUCAGAAACAAAUUCUUUAAAC
Molecule: long non-coding RNA, 916 nt
Filed under: Fukomys damarensis (Damara mole-rat)
Lineage: Eukaryota; Metazoa; Chordata; Mammalia; Rodentia; Bathyergidae
Description: lncRNA (ENSFDAG00000030779.1)
Source: RNAcentral